AGCUUCAGCGAUGGAUCGGUCGAUUCGCGUAUCGAUGAAAAACGCAGCUAGCUGCGUUAUUUACCACGAAUUGCAGACGCUUAGAGUGGUGAAAUUUUGAACGCAUAGCGCCGUUGGGUUUUCCCUUCGGCACGUCUGGUUCAGGGUUGUUAUGAAAUUACUACAGUGGGGCUUGUUGUACACUGUUUGUCGGGUGGCACUCAUCGUUCGUGGUGAUUCCCAUUCUAGUACAGAAUUUCAUAGAGCAAAAUAAUAUCAUACUGCAUGUUACAUGUGUGUAUGAUAUUGCUGAAUGAAAUCGAUGAACAUUAUAGACGUUUAUCACACUAUUAUGAUAAGUACUUGUGAAUGAGAAGGAACAUCAUAAUGGUACCGCUUGUUUGUGAUAAAUAUCUAUUCAUAUGUUCGUUGUGUAUUUCAUUUGAAUAUUGCAACCUGAACUCAGGCGUGAUUACCCGCUGAACUUAAGCAUAUCAUUUAGCGGAGGAAAAGAAACUAACAAGGAUUCCCCUAGUAACGGCGAGUGAACGGGGAGAAGCCCAGCGCUGAAUCUUUCGGUGUUACACCGUUAAGAAAUGUAGCGUAUAGGUGUGGUUUUCAGUUUGUGCUACUUAUCCAAAGUCCCUUUGAUAGGGCCACAUUCCCGAGAGGGUGCGAGACCUGUGCGGAUAGUGGAGCAAGCUGUACGAUCAUACCUUGGAGUCGGGUUGCUUGAAAGUGCAGCCUAAAGUGGGUGAUAAACUUCAUCUAAGGCUAAAUAUAGACGCGAAUUCGAUAGCAAACAAGUACUGUGAAGGAAAGUUGCAAAGAACUUUGAAGAGAGAGUUCAAGAGAACGUGAAAUCGCUGGAGUGGAAACGGAGAGAGUUGACGUAGUCCGGUGACUAAGUUUGCCGAAAUCGCUUAAUUGUGAUUAAGGUGAAUGUAUGUUGCCUAUGGCUGCGCUGACAGCACUGGUUGUACGUUCCGAACCGUUUUCGUUGCCCAAUUUUCGAAUUGGUGUCUUGUUUACGGGUAGGUUUGUUAUGACUAGUGUUUUAUCCUGUUUUAUGCAGGGUGUCAGUGUGAAGGUCGACCACCUCUCCGACCCGUCUUGAAACACGGACCGAGGAGUGUAACUUGUACGCGAGUCAAAGGGUGGAAAACCCCAAGGCGCAAUGAAAGUAAAGGUCGGUUAACCGACUGACAUGGGAUCCGUUUCGUUUUGAAGCGGCGCACCAUGGCCCUGUCUUGUCUGCUUGCAGAUGGGCAGCGGUAGAGCGUACAGGUUGCGACCCGAAAGAUGGUGAACUAUGCCUGAGCAGGACGAAGUCAGAGGAAACUCUGGUGGAAGUCCGUAUCGGUUCUGACGUGCAAAUCGAUCGAUAGACUUGGGUAUAGGGGCGAAAGACUAAUCGAACCAUCUAGUAGCUGGUUCCUCCGAAGUUUCCCCAGGAUAGCUGGAGUUCAUUGCGGUUAUAUCCGGUAAAGCGAAUGAUUAGAGGACUUGGGGUCGAAACGACCUCAACCUAUUCUCAAACUUUCAAUGGGUAUGUUGUCUCGGUUUCUUUGUUGAACUGUUGACACGAACGCGAACCAAGUGGGCCAUUUUUGGUAAGCAGAACUGGCGCUGUGGGAUGAACCAAACGUUGGGUUAAGGUGCCUAACUUUUCGCUCAUGAGACCCCAUAAAAGGCGUUGGUUGAUAUAGACAGCAGGACGGUGGCCAUGGAAGUCGGUACCCGCUAAGGAGUGUGUAACAACUCACCUGCCGAAUCAACUAGCCCUGAAAAUGGAUGGCGCUUGAGCGAGAGACCUAUACCCAACCGUUGCUGGCUUGUGCGUGCCUGUCGCCUGGCUGCAACGAGUAGGAGGGUCGUGGCGGUUGCGUCGAAGGUUUUGGGCGUAGGCCCAACUGGAGCUUCCGUCAGUGCAGAUCUCGGUGGUAGUAGCAAAUAUUUAAGUUCGAUCCUUGAAGACUGAAGUGGAGAAGGGUUCCACGUGAACAGUAGUUGAAUGUGGGUCAGUCGAUCCUAAGAUACUGGCUUAUGCCUUGUAUCAUCGAGAGGAAAAGUCUCUUUCUCUCGGAUAUCAAAAGGGAAUAGGGUUAAUAUUCCCUAACGCAGACACAGAGAUUGUGGCUCUUACGAGUCACUUGCGCGGUAACGCAUUCGAACUUGGUUACGUCGCUCAGAGACCGAGCUAGAGUUCUCUUCUCUAGUUAAGGAACGGACUCCUGGAAUCGGUUCAGCCGUAGAUAGGGACGUUGUUUCCGUAAAGCAUCGCGGUUUCUGUGAUGUCUCGUGUUCUCUGGACGGCCCUUGAAAACCAAGGAGGCUAUUAAUCUGUGCUGCAUCGUACCGAUAUCCGCAUCAGGUCUCCAAGGUGAACAGCCUCUAGUCGAUAGAAUAAUGUAGGUAAGGGAAGUCGGCAAAUUAGAUCCGUAACUUCGGGAAAAGGAUUGGCUCCAGUGACCGGGUCGGUUGGCUUGUUAACUGAUGCUUGUGCGGUUUCGUCCGUGGCUGGCUGAUACUAACGUUGAUGCUGGACUAGUGACAUGACUGCCUUGUGGACGUUUUCAGGUGUGUGCUUUGUCUUCGGACUUAGUAUCCUGAUCGACCAUCAAAACGGUCGAACUGGAACUGGUACGGACUCGGGAAUCCGACUGUCUAAUUAAAACAGAGGAGACAGAUGGUCCUUGCGGACGUUUACUGUCUCUGAUUUCUGCCCAGUGCUCUGAAUGUUAAAUCGUAGUAAUUCGAGUAAGCGCGGGUAAACGGCGGAGUAACUAUGACUCUCUUAAGGUAGCCAAAUGCCUCGUCAGCUAACUACUGACGCGCAUGAAUGGAUUAACGAGAUUCCCACUGUCCCUAACUACUAUCUAGCGAAACCACAGCCAAGGGAACGGGCUUGGCAAAAAUAGCGGGAAAGAAGACCCUGUUGAGCUUGACUC
This 2930-nucleotide ribosomal RNA is filed under the name Nippostrongylus brasiliensis. Its description in RNAcentral is "eukaryotic LSU rRNA". The stretch from base 432 to 2930 matches the Rfam family "Eukaryotic large subunit ribosomal RNA", at positions 1 to 2428 of the family's 3401-position model. The record is from RNAcentral. Lineage: Eukaryota; Metazoa; Nematoda; Chromadorea; Rhabditida; Heligmosomidae.